CCAAUAGCGUAUAUUAAAGUUGUUGCAGUUAAAAAGCUCGUAGUUGAAUUUCGGGAUUAGCAAGUUGGUCGUGCCUUCGGUAUGCACUGGCUUUGCUGAUUCCUCCUUCUUGAAGAACUGUAAUGCUAUUAAUUUAGUGUUGCAGGGAAACAGGACUGUUACUUUGAAAAAAUUAGAGUGUUUAAAGCAGGCUAACGCUUGAAUACAUUAGCAUGGAAUAAUGAAAUAGGACGUUUGAUCCUAUUUUGUUGGUUUCUAGGAUUGACGUAAUGAUUAAUAGGGAUAGUUGGGGGCAUUAGUAUUCAAUUGUCAGAGGUGAAAUUCUUGGAUUUAUUGAAGACUGACUACUGCGAAAGCAUUUGCCAAGGAUGUUUUCAUUAAUCAAGAACGAAAGUUAGGGGAUCGAAGACGAUCUGAUACCGUCGUAGUCUUAACCAUAAACUAUGCCGACUAGGGAUCGGAUGAUGUUAAUUUUUUAAUGACUCAUUCGGCGCCUUACG
Molecule: ribosomal RNA, 500 nt
Filed under: uncultured Glomeromycotina
Lineage: Eukaryota; Fungi; Glomeromycota
Description: partial small subunit ribosomal RNA
Rfam family: Eukaryotic small subunit ribosomal RNA
Source: RNAcentral